CGAGUCCGUUACCAUGACAACAUAAGUCAAUGUUUACUAGGUAGGUGUGUUUCUUUUUAAUCAAAUCGAACAACCAACAAUCGAAAGAUGGAAACUUCAACAGAUCAAUUAUUUUCGAGUGUCAUUAUCGGCAGUAGUACUGCAAGACAUAAAGCAAGGCUUGGUCAGUUCUCUGAAUAUCGAGAGGAAAGGUAUUAUGCCAACGUGUGGGUUCAAUUACUUCUUUACUUAAAUGUGCAUUUCUGUGGAGUUUGGCUAGCUUCCAGCAUUAUCACAUUGUAUUAUCAGUACUGGAACUUAUCAACUAUUCACCGUGUUUUAUCGGUAUUGUCUUUAAUCAUAGCUGCUCCAGUCGAAUGUCUACGGUUGUACUUA
Long non-coding RNA from Ochlerotatus camptorhynchus, 375 nucleotides. RefSeq lists it as uncharacterized. The transcript is spliced from 3 exons. Lineage: Eukaryota; Metazoa; Arthropoda; Insecta; Diptera; Culicidae. The record is from RefSeq and is a predicted model, not a curated record.